RNAcentral lists this non-coding RNA (129 nucleotides) under Trifolium pratense (red clover). The record is from RNAcentral. Lineage: Eukaryota; Viridiplantae; Streptophyta; Magnoliopsida; Fabales; Fabaceae.
GUGUUCGUGAAAAGGAGAGAUGGUUGGCAUCUCCCCUGACAGGGAUGGGAACAGCUUUCGGGCUUUCCUGUUACACACCUCGGUUAAGGCUAUCCACCUCAUUGAGGUCGGAUCUAACCAAAAAUUUUU